Molecule: ribosomal RNA, 497 nt
Filed under: uncultured bacterium
Lineage: Bacteria
Description: partial 16S ribosomal RNA
Rfam family: Bacterial small subunit ribosomal RNA
Source: RNAcentral
GAUGAACGCUGGCGGCGUGCCUAAUACAUGCAAGUCGAGCGAACAGACGAGGAGCUUGCUCCUCUGACGUUAGCGGCGGACGGGUGAGUAACACGUGGAUAACCUACCUAUAAGACUGGGAUAACUUCGGGAAACCGGAGCUAAUACCGGAUAAUAUAUUGAACCGCAUGGUUCAAUAGUGAAAGACGGUUUUGCUGUCACUUAUAGAUGGAUCCGCGCCGCAUUAGCUAGUUGGUAAGGUAACGGCUUACCAAGGCAACGAUGCGUAGCCGACCUGAGAGGGUGAUCGGCCACACUGGAACUGAGACACGGUCCAGACUCCCACGGGAGGCAGCAGUAGGGAAUCUUCCGCAAUGGGCGAAAGCCUGACGGAGCAACGCCGCGUGAGUGAUGAAGGUCUUCGGAUCGUAAAACUCUGUUAUUAGGGAAGAACAAAUGUGUAAGUAACUAUGCACGUCUUGACGGUACCUAAUCAGAAAGCCACGGCUAACUACGCG